Cavia porcellus (domestic guinea pig) is the source of this 2051-nucleotide long non-coding RNA. RefSeq lists it as uncharacterized. The transcript has 3 exons. The record is from RefSeq and is a predicted model, not a curated record. NCBI's taxonomy places the organism in Eukaryota, Metazoa, Chordata, Mammalia, Rodentia, Caviidae.
UGGUAUUUUUGAUAAAUUACACAAAAGUAGGUAUGCUCUUUCACCCCCCAAAUUCUCCUUUUCACAGGUCACUAAGCUCAAGACUUGCUGUUUUUGAUCAUUCGCCAUUGUAUUAGUCCUCAAAAGUAAAUCUGAGACCAAGAGGAAACAUACCUUCUCUGUGCUGUGAGAUGAUGCUUAGUCUGGAUCAGCUUCUAAGAAUUCUGCCUACUCUACCACUGGGAUCCUUUUAUUGAUGGUUUGUGCCUACACCUGGUUAAAAAAUGGGAAAGUCAAUCAAAUGACCAAUUGUCUGGAUUUCUUUUCCAUGCCUAAUCUCACAGUGUAAAUUUCCAGUCUCCACUUCCCAGGGGCUUGAAGCUAAGAGUUUGUCUUAGAUUUUGGAGGAGACCUGGGACUUGGACUUCUCAGCAAUGCUGAAACUCUGAGGACUUUGGCAACUCUUCAAGAUGGACCAAGUGUCUUUUGUAUAAAGGAUGUGCAUGAAUCUUUGGGGGGUCAAGGGUGGAAUGUUAUGGUUUAUGUUCAGAUGGUGCCCCCCCUCAAGCCUCAUGCAAUCAUGGACCAGGUCAAAUCUAGUAUUUGUGAUUGGUUUGUUGUCUAGUGCUUGGAUUGGUUGUAUGAGUGAUAUACCUUCCCAAGGGUGGAGCCAACAUACAGUGUAACAGUGGGAAGAAGAGGCCCCUCAACCACAUCAUUUUGCCUUGGAGUCAACUGAGUAGGACUGAAACCUCCAACCUGUAAGAAAUAAACCUUCCCUUCCCUAACUUUGGGUGUCAGGUAUUUUGUCUCAACAACAAGAGAGAUAAGUAACUAAGACAAUAUUCAUCUACUAAGUCCCAAGCCUUGCUUGUUAAUAUAAUUCAACUGUGCAGAGAAUCUUACUCCAGUAUCUCAUCUGGUUAGUGUUAUGUUUUUGUUAUACCAAACUUCUCUUUGUUGAUAUAUAACUUCCUAACAAACUGUGUUUCAGCAUCUCACAUUGUGAUCUGUAGAACUCUAAUGAGAUACUAAUUUAUCCUCAAAGAAACCUCAUGGUUAAAUAAUUUGAGAAAUACCUGUUAAAAACCUUUAAAGUCUCUGGAGUAAGAUUUUUUCAAUGCUCUCAAGAUUGCAUUGAACAAUGAUAAUCUUUAAAAGCAGAUACAGAAUGUAAUACUUCUCAAAUGUUUGACCAAAGAAUUUCUCUCCCCUCUUCCUCCAACAUAAAAAUUCUCAAGGAAAAUGUAAUUUGAAAAAUGCAUUACAUACCCAGUUUGGAAAAUAUUACUCAGAGGACUGCUCACUUAGGAUAAAGCCAUUUAAUACCCUGGUUCAUUCCCCUUCAGGGAAAAUGAACUGAGGUUUGUAUCAGAAAGGAAAUUAAUGUGAUUGAUAGUCUCCUCCACUGCAAAGAUUGUGCUAGCUAGGGACUUGAUAAUAUUAAUCAGAAAAAAUUAUAACCACCAAAUAUGCAUUUGAGAUAGAAUGGAAAAAAUAAAUAAAGUAGGAAGGAGACAAGGAAAAUCAUAAUUUAAAGUUUAAGACAGCAACAUCAGGACAUAAAGUUACCUAAAGUUACCUAUAUUUGUACUCUUUCAGCUUGUUUAUGCUUUUUUUCUUGCAGACCUAUUGCACACAAAAUCCCUUAAAAAUACUAUAAAUAGCUUAGAUUUUAAGGUAAAGAGCAGAAACCUAACCUCAAGCAAAACAGAUUCAGAGAUUUCAAAGAUUUUGUUUGUUUGUUUGUUUUUGUUUUUGUUGAAACAGAACACCUACCUUAAAAAUUUAAUGGAGUGGGCCCAUGACUUUCUCCUGUAAAAUAAGCUAUCCUUUGACCCUGGAAGGUGUCACUAUCUUUCUACUUUGGAGGGUCUCUGACUUUCCUCCUGCAGUUAAUGAAGCCCAAACUUUCUAGAUAUUCACACAUUUCACAGUUUCUCGUCACCAAAAACACAUAAAAAUGGUCCCAGUUCCAGACUCUUAUGUGCCUGUCUCUUUUGAAGAUCAACACACUAUUUUGUUUGGACAUGUGCUUUAAAUUCUGACCAAUAAAUCUCAUUAUGCCCUUA